GGAGAGGUGGCAGAGCGGUUGAAUGCGGCGGUCUUGAAAACCGCAGGACCUGAUGAGGGUUCCGAGGGUUCGAAUCCCUCCCUCUCCC
Molecule: transfer RNA, 88 nt
Rfam family: tRNA
About the family: Transfer RNA (tRNA) molecules are approximately 80 nucleotides in length. Their secondary structure includes four short double-helical elements and three loops (D, anti-codon, and T loops). Further hydrogen bonds mediate the characteristic L-shaped molecular structure. tRNAs have two regions of fundamental functional importance: the anti-codon, which is responsible for specific mRNA codon recognition, and the 3' end, to which the tRNAs corresponding amino acid is attached (by aminoacyl-tRNA synthetases). tRNAs cope with the degeneracy of the genetic code in two manners: having more than one tRNA (with a specific anti-codon) for a particular amino acid; and 'wobble' base-pairing, i.e. permitting non-standard base-pairing at the 3rd anti-codon position.